UAUGCUUCUCCUAAAGACUAAGCCAUGCAUGCCUUCGAAUACGAGGAAGCAAUUCUCUCUGAAUCUGCGAACGGCUCCGCAAACCAGUUGUAAACCAAAGCAAGCAAACCCGUGGACUGCUCCUCACGAGGCGGACUGCGGGUGAUACGGAUAACCCUGGUAAUUCUGAGGCUAAUACGAGACUAUAAUCCCUGGUCGACCGGGCAACUGGAAGGCCGGGGGGCGUGUGAUCUAUUUGCAAGACGGAUCCAGGAAGGGGUGCACGCUCUGACCGCGACAAAAACAGUUCCGUAGACCUCCGGGCGAGCGGUUCUGAGCGGCUCUUGCGAUGUGCUUCUGACCUAUCAACUAGAUGGCAGCGUAACGGACAUGCCAUGGUUACAACGGGUACAGAGGAUUAGGGUUCGAUCCUGGAGAGUGGGCCUGAGAGAUUGCUCAUACUUCUAAGGAAGGCAGCAGGCGCGCAACGUUCCCCUUGGGCAAUGCCCGAGGGCGUUAGGGGACAUAUGAAUGGUUGCCUUUUAGGUGGCCAAUUCAAAUGGGUCUGUUCUAAACAGCCUCUCGAGUAACAAUUAGAGGA
This 580-nucleotide ribosomal RNA is filed under the name uncultured Diderma sp. RNAcentral describes it as "bacterial SSU rRNA". It matches the Rfam family "Eukaryotic small subunit ribosomal RNA", at positions 27 to 555 of the family's 1831-position model. Lineage: Eukaryota; Evosea; Eumycetozoa; Physariida; Didymiaceae. The record is from RNAcentral.